CAGGGAGACAACACAAUGAUUUUGAUGCCUGAGUGCUUUUAUUCUUAGGCCGAAAUCCUGUCACCUUAGGUCGAUCGGUACCUCAGCUUUGAAAUCAAGGAUCAGCAGCAAUGUUGAUUGCUUGAUGGAGAUUUUCAGUUCCUAAACUUUGUCUAGGUCACACCCCAAAAGGGAUGAGACUCCUGGGCCAUUAGCUCAGGUGGUUAGAGCGCACCCCUGAUAAGGGUGAGGUCCCUGGUUCAAGUCCAGGAUGGCCCAUUCGGUGUUGGGGGUUUAGCUCAGUUGGUAGAGCGCCUGCUUUGCAAGCAGGAUGUCAGGAGUUCGAGUCUCCUAACCUCCACUGACCGAACUUGAUUCCCAUCUCCAAUUUUUUGGAGUUGAGCUCGAUUGGAGUGUGAUUUAGAUGUGUCCGCUGGAUGACCCCAGCUUCCUGUCAUUCCAAGUUUUAGGUUGAUGCCUUGAAUUUGGUUGAUAAGAUGCUGGGCUCAGAUCAAGUGAUCAAGCAAUUGAUGAUUUGAUUUGAAGUUCUAGCAGAACCUUGACAACUGCAUAGGUGAGUCUGGAAAAAACAAAGCAUCUUACAGAUGCAUUGUUUUGAAUCUGAUCUUCUGAAAGGGAGAUUGGAUCUAGAACAAUGAAAAUUCUUUUGAGCAAGAGCCGAGACUCUUGAACGUUCUUUGAUUGGUGUCGAGCCAAUCAGAGUUUGAUCUUGUUUUUAGCAAUAAAAACUUGAGAAUCUGCUUUCAACGGCGGUAAGCGUUCAGGAGGUUAAUU
This 774-nucleotide transfer RNA is filed under the name uncultured cyanobacterium. Its description in RNAcentral is "partial contains 16S ribosomal RNA, 16S-23S ribosomal RNA intergenic spacer, and 23S ribosomal RNA". The stretch from base 268 to 340 matches the Rfam family "tRNA". The record is from RNAcentral. Lineage: Bacteria; Bacillati; Cyanobacteriota.